CUGCAUGAAGAUUAUUCUGUUCACUGUUAAGUGCUUCUGUGGCCAUUGCAACAUGCUGGAGAGGAGUCCUGGGCUCUUGGGAGACGGCUGCUACUACCAGCCUGAAAGAAAGUGUCUGAAGACAGGAAAGAAAAAACAUGUUCACUGUCUGUGUGGUUAUCGAACAAAGAAGUAUGAGGACAUAUGGUGGCAGAGUGUGAAACAGUAUAUUACAAGCCUCCAGAUAAAAGCACUUAAAGAAAGGUUCCUUCUGCACAGCGACUUGCUGCUCCUGGGGCUGUCGCAGUAUGCCACUUCUUGUUUUUGGAACAUCUUCUCCAGCUGUUCAUGGCAAGAGUCUUCCCCUGGUGCUGCUGCUGGUUCAGUCUUUGUUGGAAUGACUGAAAUGUGUAUGCUCUUGGAAAAACAUGUGUAGUGAUGGUCCAGGCAGUCCCUUGGUGGCAGCUUGAGGGAAAUAAAAAAAAAAAGAAAAGGAGGACA
This 480-nucleotide long non-coding RNA is filed under the name Anser brachyrhynchus (Pink-footed goose). RNAcentral describes it as "lncRNA (ENSABRG00000001403.1)". Lineage: Eukaryota; Metazoa; Chordata; Aves; Anseriformes; Anatidae. The record is from RNAcentral.